GACGUAGGGCGCGAGCGUUGUCCGGAUUUAUUGGGCGUAAAGAGCUCGUAGGCGGCUUGUCGCGUCGUUCGUGAAAACCCGGGGCUCAACUCCGGGCUUGCGGGCGAUACGGGCAGGCUAGAGUUCGGUAGGGGAGACUGGAAUUCCUGGUGUAGCGGUGAAAUGCGUAGAUAUCAGGAAGAACACCCGUGGCGAAGGCGGCUCUCUGGGACGGUACUGACGCUGAGACGCGAAAGCGUGGGGAGCGAACAGG
RNAcentral lists this ribosomal RNA (253 nucleotides) under uncultured bacterium. Its description in RNAcentral is "partial 16S ribosomal RNA". It matches the Rfam family "Bacterial small subunit ribosomal RNA", at positions 524 to 776 of the family's 1533-position model. The record is from RNAcentral.